Molecule: long non-coding RNA, 2737 nt
Filed under: Homo sapiens (human)
Lineage: Eukaryota; Metazoa; Chordata; Mammalia; Primates; Hominidae
Description: HSALNT0247207
Source: RNAcentral
AACAAAUCGCCUUGCAGACAAGUCUCAACACAGAACACAUGCUGCUUAUCACUGGCAAAGACUUGCAUCAGCCUGCCACCACGGCUGGCUCAUCUUGUCCCUCCAGGCCUGUGCCUGCUGGAACACUCCCACUCCCCAUGUCUGAAUACACCACUUCGGUUGGACCAAGAGUUUCCAGCUCGGGUGGCCCCUCCUUCCCUGGAAAUAAAUAGCUGCCUAUAGAAUAUCAGAGUCAUUCUGACUCAGGGGUGACUCAGCUCUUCCAUGACCUGUGUUCCCACUUCUCCUUGAUAAGGCCAAUGUUUUGGCCCUACUGGUGAAAAUAUGUAGACCUAACAUCUAUCUCCCUGCUCCAGUUUCAAGAGAAAAGACCUUAUUCAGAGAAAUAUUUAGAAGACUCUUGUGGAAUUCUUGCUGUGAGUGGUUUUUCCUUCCCUGCCAUUGGUGCGACUGUUUCCCCCUUCCGUCAAAUUGCUGUCUAGAUGUUUCUCUCUGACCCCAAUUUUCUCGGAGUUUGGGAUUAUCAAUCUAAAAUCAGAGGUGAGAAUUCAUCAGUGUUAUCGAUAAGACUUUGCAAUUAUUUCUUUCAAACUGAACUUUUUCCCUAUUCACUUAUUUUUCCUCAUUGCAAAAUAAUCAAAGCAUUGAUGAGUGUUUCUGUUUAAAUUCAAAGGACAUUCCACCUUUAACCUUAGCAUUCAUGAGACACAAAAUGGGUUUUUCUUUUUGCUGAUUUAAAAAGCUGCUAUGAAGCUGCACAGUGCGGAAGAGGGCACCCCUGCUCCAGAAAAGAAGAAACAAAACUGCCUGCCAUAGACACUUGGUAGGGAGUGGCAAAUGGAAUCUUGGUUUGUUUUUCUCUUAGGACUUUGACAAUUAUUUUUCCUUGAAAAGAAUAAGAGAAUCUACCUAAAAUAUUAAUACUAGUUUCAGAGCUCUAGGAUAAUAUAGAGCAGAGUCUCUUUUUUUUAAAAAAGGAAAGCGGUUUCAUUUCUGACAGUGGAUUUCUUCCACUGAUGUGCACACUCUUUGACAUGAAAAGCUGCACGAAGCUGCCUUGAAUUCAUUCUGCAGAUGGAAAGUUGCAAGUACGGUAAUUAGCUAAGCAGUGGCAAGGCCGACCAUCUGAGGUUUGAUUUCUCAUCAAGAGAUAGUGUCCGACACACGUGCCACUGAGCAUGCUUGCAGGGAGGAACUUGGAUUGUCCUUCAGUAAAAUUCCACUUUGAUGCGCAAAGCGAACUUGAAUUUCUGCUUGGCCUACCACAGGCCUGCAACAUGCACUUUCUCCUCGAGGGAACUGCCACUCACUGACACGGACAACAGUAAAGGAACUUGGUCUUCACUAUGCCUCAUAGUGGUGGGUCACACUGCCCAGGAGGAACCCGCAAUGAGACCGGCAAAUGCCUUAACCAUCUCAUUGUCUCAUCAGGAAGAAGCUUAAAUGACUCUUCUUGCUCACAUACUUCCUGGGCAAACAUGUCUGCUCUGUUGGGAUAAAGGACGCUCUAGACCAGGCUCUGCUGAAAGAUCCAGGGCAAAGGUUCCUGACAAGACUAUGUCCAGCCUCAAAUAAGGCCACAGAAGAGCCCAGGCUCGCUGACGAGCACCGGCUCCGAGGCAGUCACAUCAGGAGACAGAAACAGACAUGUUGGUGCUGCCCUCUCAGGUCAGUGCAAAUGCCACUUGAGGAGGGCUGAGAGCUUUGCAGCAUAAAAUGACCAGAACAAGGAGAAACACAGAUGCAAUGGCAAUAGCUGGCAAUUCGCACAUGGCGUCAAACACCACUGCCACAGAAGCUUUUUAGCUACAAGCCACGCUAUGCAACCUUUAAGCAAAACAUUAUUGAUUUUGUGGUUGUAAAAACAUACCUUCAACUGCAGAACUCAGUUUUAUGACACCUUGAAUAAAAACAAAAAGUGGCAGUUAUAUAAUGGACCCAAAUCGCCUUUUCCAGGCUUCUCAUAACACACGCAUGCUUCAGAUUUGGAUUUUUCUUUUUCUGCUGGCAUUGCAAGAACGUAACUAAACAAAUAUCAACUUCAAAAAUAAAAUAAUUUUUAGUCUUAACUAGGUCUCAUGGAUGUCUUCUUUUCCCCCACUAAAACCAUUUGGGGAAAUUUUUCACUAAAAAUGGGAUCAAACAUGUUUUUGGAUGGGACAAAGGCCAAGUCUGCCUGAGUGACUAUUUCUGUGUAUAAAUUAUACCAGAUUAUGGAUCAAUAAAAGUUCACACAAUAGGAUGCUAGGGACCAGCACUUCCUCUUUGAUACUGUAUCUAGAGAUCAUCUGAUGCAUGUUAGGACAGAGUUUCUGUUGAAACAUGUAACAGGUGGUUAAAAACCAUGGUGUGAUCUGGUAACUUUCUUCUCUGGGGUGGUUGGGCCAGAGCCCUUUUCUUGGUCUGAUGGGUUUAGAUUUCAGCUCCCUCAAGUCAGAGAGUGAACGGGUUAUCUGAGCAAGUCAAGUUGUUCAUGAAGCAAGUCAGUACCCUUGACUGAUAUUUAUGCACCUUUGCAGUGAAUUUUUUUUUUUUUUGAGACAGAGUCUCGCUCUGUCACCCAGGCUGGAGUGCAGUGGCGCAAUCUCGGAUCUUGGAUCUCGGCUCACUGCAACCUCUGCCUCCUGGGUGGACGCCAUUCUCCUGCCUCAGCCUCCCGAGUGGCUGGGACUACAGGCGCCCGCCAGCACGCCCGGCUAAUUUUUUGUAUUUUUAGUAGAAACAUGGUUUCACUGUA